RNAcentral lists this ribosomal RNA (487 nucleotides) under uncultured Pseudomonas sp. Its description in RNAcentral is "bacterial SSU rRNA". It matches the Rfam family "Bacterial small subunit ribosomal RNA", at positions 32 to 514 of the family's 1533-position model. The record is from RNAcentral. Lineage: Bacteria; Pseudomonadati; Pseudomonadota; Gammaproteobacteria; Pseudomonadales; Pseudomonadaceae.
AUGACGCUGGCGGCAGGCUACACAUGCUUAUCGAGCGGAUGACGGGAGCUUGCUCCUUGAUUCAGCGGCGGACGGGUGAGUAAUGCCUAGGAAUCUGCCUGGUAGUGGGGGACAACGUUUCGAAAGGAACGCUAAUACCGCAUACGUCCUACGGGAGAAAGCAGGGGACCUUCGGGCCUUGCGCUAUCAGAUGAGCCUAGGUCGGAUUAGCUAGUUGGUGAGGUAAUGGCUCACCAAGGCGACGAUCCGUAACUGGUCUGAGAGGAUGAUCAGUCACACUGGAACUGAGACACGGUCCAGACUCCUACGGGAGGCAGCAGUGGGGAAUAUUGGACAAUGGGCGAAAGCCUGAUCCAGCCAUGCCGCGUGUGCGAUGACGGCCCUCGGGUUGUAAAGCACUUUAGGUAACGAGGAAAAGUUAGGUGUUAAUACCAUCUAACCUUGACGUUAAUAACAGAAUAAGCACCGGCUAAAUCCGUGCCAACAG